GGAUGAUAAAUAAGGAGAAAAAUGAUACGCAAGGAAAUCUUGACAAAUGUAGUAGUUCAGUAAACAUAGGAGUCCAAUCCACCUACAUAAUUAACGCAUAUACAUACACGAUACAUACACCCACCCAUCCCACAACUUGUUUAGAAUAUACUCUUAACUCUUUCAUCAACACAAGAUUCAUUGGACUUUUUCAACCAUUUCCCCACAUCUCUCCCCAAACCCAGGUCAGACUUCUUAUCUUUUUACACUUCUAUGCUGUUCUAAACUCUUAUUUGCUUCAAGGGUAUGCUUCCACUUGUUAAAGUUUGCACCUUUUCUUGAUUUCAGUUUUAAUUCUUGUGUUUUUGUGUAUGGAAUUGUGAUAUUUGCAUGUUUGGAGUUAGUGUCUGCCCUUCAGAAUUAUACUAUUGCUGUUUGAUUUGGGUGUUUUUUGAUCAUUUGAGUUGGGUGUUUUGAGAUGAUUGUCAUAUGAUUGUUGGGUUUUUGGCUCAGAAACUUUUUCACUUCAAGUGUUAAGGUUUUUCUUGGAAUUUGAAGAAUUAGCUAAACCUGAUAUAACAAUGGAUAGAAAAAAUGAUGUUUUUUCCGAAGGAAAAGCAUGAACUUGAAUUUUCUAAUUUAAGAUGCAUAAAUUUGUUUAGGAGUUGCCUUAGAUAUCCUGGAAAACUGUUUUUAUUUAAUAGAAUUUGAAUAGGAGUAUAUGUUAUAGCUAUAUUAUUGUGAUAGAAAUCGUAAAAAUAAUAAUAAUAAUCAGGUUUUGAUACUGGGCUGACCAUGCUUCCAUCCGCCGCACCACUCUGAUAUGUAUGUUGUAUUAAUCUUAACGAGAGUAUCUGAUCAGAAAAUAAUUUUAAGGUAAAUGGGUUGAAGAUAGGUUAAAUUAGUCCCUUUUGGCUCGAAUUCUAUUUUUGUUUUUUUUUUCAAAGUCUGUUUUGGUUUCUACUUAUUAUCUUUAAGUUUUCAUCUUUUUUUGGAUUUGUUAGUUGAGUUAUUGUUUGAUUGGGGGGGGGGGGGGGGGGGGGUGNNNNNNNNNNNNNNNNNNNNNNNNNNNNNNNNNNNNNNNNNNNNNNNNNNNNNNNNNNNNNNNNNNNNNNNNNNNNNNNNNNNNNNNNNNNNNNNNNNNNNNNNNNNNNNNNNNNNNNNNNNNNNNNNNNNNNNNNNNNNNNNNNNNNNNNNNNNNNNNNNNNNNNNNNNNNNNNNNNNNNNNNNNNNNNNNNNNNNNNNNNNNNNNNNNNNAAACAGAAAAAGCCACUAUAACCCAAGAAUAUAUACAUUCACACUCUAUAUAUAAACAAAAUUUAGUAGAUUUAAAUUAGAAAAAAGUAUAUUAGUAUACAUAAUACACAUACAUACAUACAUACAUACAUACAUACAUACAUACAUACAUACAUACAUACAUAUAUAUUUGGAUUUUUUUUCGGGUUUCGGGUUUGGAUCGGGUUUGGAUCGGAUUCGGAUUUCGGGUUCGGUUUCGAUACGGAAUACCUAGUAUCCAAAUCCAAAUCCAAACUCAUUCGGGUCUAAAAAUCAAAUCCAAAUCCAAAUCCAAAUCCAAAAUAUCGGGUUCGGUAAGAUCCAUUCGGGUCGAAACGGUCGGGUAUCCAUUCGGAUCGGUUUUUUCUGCCAUCCCUACAAACAAGGGUGGUUUGGUCCGGGCUUUGCUGGUAUCAACUAUGAGUUUUGUUUAUUCCAAUGUUUGGUCGAAAUAUUUCUUUCAUCAGACAAUUUCUCAAAUAUGAGAUUUUCAUACUUAAGGUGGUUAUGAAACAUGAGUCUCAAGAAUCAAAUUUUUUUUUUCUUUUAUUUUCAUGACUAUUUAUAUCAUUUCAUGUAGAUUAUUUAUACAAAAUGAAAUUAAGACUCAAUAUAUAUAUAAAUAUUAAUUUAAUAAUAUUUUAAAUUAAUUACAAUUAAUAACUCAUAAAUAUUAUAAUUCAAUCAUAUUCAUUCCACCACUCAACCAAAUAUGAAAUCAUACCUCAAACCUAUACCAGCUUAGCUUAACCUGAUCAUUCCAACACCAUACUCCCUCUCUAACCAAACGACCCCAGAGAUUUGUCCAUGUAAACAAAAUUUAUAUAUUCUCGUUACAUAAAUAAAAAUAUUACAUGCAGAGAUUAGAGAGUGAGAAAUAAAGAAAAUAAUAAAAAUUUAUUUACGCAAUCAACAAGAGUGUGAACUGAGUCUGUAACUAAUGGAUGAUAAAUAAGGAGAAAAAUGAUACGCAAGGAAAUCUUGACAAAUGUAGUAGUUCAGUAAACAUAGGAGUCCAAUCCACCUACAUAAUUAACGCAUAUACAUACACGAUACAUACACCCACCCAUCCCACAACUUGUUUAGAAUAUACUCUUAACUCUUUCAUCAACACAAGAUUCAUUGGACUUUUUCAACCAUUUCCCCACAUCUCUCCCCAAACCCAGGUCAGACUUCUUAUCUUUUUACACUUCUAUGCUGUUCUAAACUCUUAUUUGCUUCAAGGGUAUGCUUCCACUUGUUAAAGUUUGCACCUUUUCUUGAUUUCAGUUUUAAUUCUUGUGUUUUUGUGUAUGGAAUUGUGAUAUUUGCAUGUUUGGAGUUAGUGUCUGCCCUUCAGAAUUAUACUAUUGCUGUUUGAUUUGGGUGUUUUUUGAUCAUUUGAGUUGGGUGUUUUGAGAUGAUUGUCAUAUGAUUGUUGGGUUUUUGGCUCAGAAACUUUUUCACUUCAAGUGUUAAGGUUUUUCUUGGAAUUUGAAGAAUUAGCUAAACCUGAUAUAACAAUGGAUAGAAAAAAUGAUGUUUUUUCCGAAGGAAAAGCAUGAACUUGAAUUUUCUAAUUUAAGAUGCAUAAAUUUGUUUAGGAGUUGCCUUAGAUAUCCUGGAAAACUGUUUUUAUUUAAUAGAAUUUGAAUAGGAGUAUAUGUUAUAGCUAUAUUAUUGUGAUAGAAAUCGUAAAAAUAAUAAUAAUAAUCAGGUUUUGAUACUGGGCUGACCAUGCUUCCAUCCGCCGCACCACUCUGAUAUGUAUGUUGUAUUAAUCUUAACGAGAGUAUCUGAUCAGAAAAUAAUUUUAAGGUAAAUGGGUUGAAGAUAGGUUAAAUUAGUCCCUUUUGGCUCGAAUUCUAUUUUUGUUUUUUUUUUCAAAGUCUGUUUUGGUUUCUACUUAUUAUCUUUAAGUUUUCAUCUUUUUUUGGAUUUGUUAGUUGAGUUAUUGUUUGAUUGGGGGGGGGGGGGGGGGGGGGUUGUUGUGCAAAAGCGUACUUUUUGAGAUGGUUGUUCAUGUUCAAAUCUGGAAUCGUUUCAGCUCAAGGCUUUAUUAUGUUUCUAAAGAUCUAAUGUACUUAUGAUAAGUGAUAUAAAAUUAAUCUUCAUUACUUGAUAUGUAAUAGACUCUAAUUUCAGAUUUUAGAUACUUAAAUUAGUCACGCUGUCAAUUAUUUUGGUUGACAAGGUAAAGCUAGAUUUUUAACACAACUUUCGGAGUGUAAGAACUAAAUUUAUCACAUAAAUAUCUUUUAAAAAAAUUAUCAGAGCCAGGUUUCGAUCCUGGGACCUGUGGGUUAUGGGCCCACCACGCUUCCGCUGCGCCACUCUGAUUUGUUGUUAAGUGGAGCAGACAUAUAGAAUACUAAUUUUCAGUCUAGAAGAUUGUCUGUUAUCAAGUAACAUCAAGGUUUAUAUAACAAGUAGCAAAUGUAUAAUCUUUGCUGGAAGACUGAAUCACUUAUUCAAGUAUUCAACAAAUAAACAGAUAUCAAGAAAUAAACAGAUAUGUAUAUAUAUGAAUUAUGUAUCUGGAGCCUACAGCUGGUGGGUAUAUCCUGAAUUGUUCUGAAAUCCCUGUAGCUACUUGAUAAAAUGAAAAUAUUAUAUAUUAUUGGGAAAAUACAUGUUUUGUUCUUAAAAGUUUACUUUUUAAAAUGAAUAUGUUUGAGCUCUAGUUUUUUAUUAUGUCUCUGAGAGUUAUAGUAUUGGUUGGAAAAAAAUUGGGUAUCUCUUAUUAAAAAGUUUUUUUUGGAUAUACUAGUCAUAAUAGAAACGCAUUCAUAAGUUGGCAUUGUAAGCUUGUGUUACAUACGAAUUUAUUACAUGCAUUAAGUAAGUUAGUAUAAUCAGAGUCAAUAAUAAAAAUGAAAAAACUAUCCGUACCAGGUUUAUGGGACCACCACACUUCCCACUCGGAUAUGUUGUUUAUCUUUGCAGACGUAUAAUAUAUUAACCUUCAAAUGAGAGGUGAUUAUCUAUUAUCAAGUCAAACUGAUUGAUAACUUGGAGAUAGAUAAGUAGCAGAUAUGUGUAAACUCUUGAUAGUACUAUAAUUAAGUUAAAAGAUACUAGAGAUUUUAUAUUAUUUUUUUCCCGAGAAAAGCCUACUUUCUGACUUUGGAGAUUAUUGCAACCUACCUAAUGUUUUUGUAUGUUCCAAUUUUAUUUUAUUAUUAUUUUCUGUUGCUCUCUUAAUCUCAGCUUUUUUAUGCAUAAAAUAGUCACAGUAGGUUAUAUACAUAAAGCAGAAACAAAGUCAGAUCCUGGGACCUGUGGGUUAUGGGCCCACAAAGCUUCUGCCGCACCACUCUGCACCACUCUGAUCUGUUGUUUGAUGACAGACAAUAUAUAUAUUAAUCUUCAAGAAAGAAGAUAGUCUAUUAUCAAGUAAGAUUAAGAUUAAUAUAUCAAGAGUGAUGUUGCUCAUUACCUUUAUUACGCAUAAGUUCAGAUAACGGGUAGUUGAAAUAUAAUGUGUUUGGGAAGAAAACAUCAGAUAUUCAAUAAACAAACCAAGCAGAACCCUGUGUUAGAAUAUGCCGAGCUAGUUUUUUUAUGUAUAAAUUGUGGUUUUGGAGCAUAUGGUUCCACUUGUCUUUGUUGUCAAGUGUGAUACACUUCAUCAGAUGGUUUUUGUUUGUAACUCCUGAUAGCAUACACUAUGAUGGGAAAAAUGCACUUUAUCAGGGAUAGUACAGUUUUUUUUUGUUUCUUUUAUGGUUUAGUUUUGUUAUGAAUAUUGUGUAUAUAUAAAUUCGGUAUAUUUGAUUUCAGCUUAUUCUUCCUUUGUUUCGUUUUUUUUGUUGAAAUGGAAUUGCUUUCUAGUGUUGGCUGUGCACAAUUAUUAAUUUGCCAAUCUAACAUUUUUGGUACUUAUAUUGCAGGAAACCACUAUAACUGGGAACACAAGAUGGCAUUUACUACAAAACAAAUGUCUUUAAUUGUGGCAACAUUUGGUGUGCUGUCCUUCAUAUUUGGAGUUAUCGCUGAAAAUAA
This 5238-nucleotide long non-coding RNA is filed under the name Daucus carota (carrot). Its description in RNAcentral is "long non-coding RNA (DCAR_LNC000463)". Lineage: Eukaryota; Viridiplantae; Streptophyta; Magnoliopsida; Apiales; Apiaceae. The record is from RNAcentral.